UUGAGUUUCUAAGUUUGUUCUUUUAGCUGUUUGCAACCGUAGAAGUAACAAAGUCUCUCACUUUUAGCCUCUCUAUGUUUUCUUGUUUCUUUUCUUCAGUGUGUUUUGUGCGGAGAAGCCAUAACAACUGAAGAUAAGUCUGAAUCUGUGAGCCGAACAGCUGAAGCAACAAAACAGAUAAGCUCUUUUACUUCCUCUUUUUAUUUUGAUUCAACAACAAACAUAAAAUUUAAUUAAAAAAUUUCAAACGUUUUCAUCAAAUCCAAGAGAUGAGCUUUUUCUGCUUUGGUUUUUUUUAUCAAAACAGAGAACCUUUGUUUUGGUUAUUUAUCAAACUCCCCCAAAAAGAUCAUAGGCAGACUCUAAUCUAAUAGUGUGCUGUCAGAUUCUUAAUUUGGGGACAUUGUCCCGUUGCCUGAAGCCUAUACCAAUCGGAAUUUUUUAAAUCUUGGUCCCAACAACUAUUGGUCGGUAGUGCAUGUAUAAGUAAAAGAUGGAAAGUACUGACAGACUUUAGAGUUACCCACGGCUUACAUAAACAACAUCAGAUGGUUUAAGAAAAGUCUUUAGACAGAGACUUUGAGUGAUAUGUACCCACGGCUUACCUUAACAACAACAGACGGCUUAAGAAAAGUCUGUAGACAGAGACUGUGAUGGUACCUAUGGCUUGCAAUAAGAUUUUUAGACAAAACUGUGAAAUCCAACGUUGGAUGGAUCAAAUGUCCCGUAGCUUUCAAAACGACUAUGAGACAUUUGAUGGAUCAAACGACCCACAAGUCCCAAACUUAAAAAAAGAAAAAGAAAAGUCUUUAGACACACAAAGACGACUAUGAACGUUUGGAUGAAUAAAACGACAAACAGUUACACCAUACAGUCUUUUAGGCAAAAGGCUUACGGCUUAUAAAGGUUUUAAACAAAUACCUAGACUUGAAAAUGGGCUAUGACGGUUCUUUAGACAGUAUCUAUACCCACCGCUUAUGGAAAAGUUUUAGACAAGAACUUUAACUUGGUUGCUACACACAACUUAUUAAAAGUCUAUAGACAAAAUAUUGAGCAGAAAACGUGUUAUGAAAAGUCUCUAGACAAUGUCUACCCAUGGCUUAUGAAAGUUUGAGUUGAUUGUUACACAAGGCUUAUGGAUAGUCUUUGGACAACAAUACUACCACAGCCUUAUCAAAAGUCUUUAGACAAAAGACUGAAUCUUGACAAUACUACCACCCACGGCUUUAUAAAAAAUUCCUUCGAGAAAGACUGGAUCUAGACAGUACCACUACUCAUGGCACUACAAAAGGUUUUUGGACAGUCUUAGCACAAUUCGGACAGUACUAUUACCCACGGCUUAUAAAAGGUCUUAAAGAUGGAAACUACGAACCCUUCAGACUUCUAAGUCUAUUGAAUGUGAAAACGAUUAACGGUGGAUGAAAAAAAAACGACCACCGGUUUAAAGAGGUCUUAGGAAAACCUAUUACUUGUUGGAUGGACAAAAAUUACCCGCGGCUUAGGAAAGUUCUACACAAAACUAUGGUUGUUUGGGUUGUUGUAUGGUGAACACGACCAACAACUUAAAACAGAGACUAUGAACCAAAAACCAUAUCUUUACAGACUCUUUGAGUUAUCGUACGGUGAACACGACCACAAGACUUCAAAGAACGACCACAAGGCCUCGAAAAAGGUAUUUUGACAAAGACUACAUGUCAGUGUUUAGCUUUGUUGGAUGGACAACGACCAACAGCUGUGAGUGUAUGAUCCAAAAUCUGAGUUGGUUUUUGCCUUGUUGGAUGGUAUAAACGACCAACAGCUUAAACCAAGUCUUGAGAGAGAGAAAGUAUGUACCAAAAGUUGAGUUGGUUUUAGAUAAAGACUGAAACGUUGGAUGGAUUAACACCCAUGGCUUACUAAAAAGACUAGACAAAAAUACUAUAAAACUUACCAACGGCUAGAGUCUUUAGACAACAAUACUACCAGCGGCUUAUGAGAAGUCCUUUGAGAAAGACUGAAUCUAUACUAUACCAGUACCCACGGCUUCAAAGAAGUUUACACAACAAUCCUAUGAGUUGGUUUUGGAGUUAAUAUGAAUCAAAAACAGACUCAUUAAGACAGAGACUAUGAACCAAGUCUUAUAAAAAUUUAUCAUAUACAUAAACCUAAGACUAUGAACGGAGUAUAAGGACUCUUUUGUGAUAACUGAAAACAGAUAUCAUAAAGUCUUUGCAAAGAUUUGACUAAUUGAAUAGAGAAAAAGACACGAUCAACGUCAUAAAGAAAAAUAUAUGAAUAUAUCAUAUUCCUCAUUUUCCACUCACAACGUGAAGUAAAGACUAAUUAAUUAUGAUUUUCUCAGGUAUGCAUGUGCUUCAGAAGGUGCUCAUUUGAAGUGUUUCAGGUUUCUACUUUGUAAUUAUACUUUCUGAAUUUCUCAGGUUUGUGCUUGCUUGCUUGUUCAUGAUCUCGUUGACGCCAAGGCUUUGUUCAGCUUCCUCACCACUCUGAAGUCUGAAAUUCCAAGAAAUGAAAGCAUAUGAAUGAGACCAGUGGAAAUAAUCUCGAAGCAAUAAAAAUUAAGUAUGUUCCAAACUGGAUGAUGACAUAAGGAAGUAAGCAUCAGAUUCCGGUUAUAAUCAUUGUUCCCUCAUGUGCCAGUUCACCUUCCUUACCAGCCUAUGUUGGACAGAAACACCAUGUCAACGGAAUAGAAAAAAAAAUACUUUCCACAAGUAACUUACUAAAUUACUUAACAAAUAAGACAGGGUUUGCACCAUCAUAUGUUUUUUUUUUCCUAUCCUAGUUUUAUCUGGGUUGAUCAUAAAAGAGGAGCGAAUUCAUCAACCUCAUUUCACGCUACCUCAGGUUUGUCUUUCUUUUUGUGGAUGUCUGCUUCUUUUUCUCGAUCGGAUCUGGAUUUAGAUCUCUGUUGCUUGUUGAUGAAUUGAUGUUACGGUAAACUAAUUAGUUUCUCUGUCACUUGGAUUUCAUAGCGGUGAGGCACAACACAUUUUCCUAUCAUACAUAAACCAGAGAUUCAAUUAGAGGUUUCUGAGACUUCGUAGGAAAUGCCAUGAAACCUUUUAAUAAAACGAAUGUGUUUUGGAGAGUGGCAUAAAAUUGUAAAUAUUUAGGAAAAGUUUGGGCUAAAUACAGUUUGUACUUCCCAUUUAAUAGUUUAGAUGUAUUUUUUUUAGCUUGUGUUAGAAUUUAAGAUAUCAUAUGUCUAUGAAUUAUUACUUA
This is a long non-coding RNA of Raphanus sativus (radish), 3225 nucleotides long. RefSeq lists it as uncharacterized. The record is from RefSeq and is a predicted model, not a curated record. The transcript has 4 exons. Lineage: Eukaryota; Viridiplantae; Streptophyta; Magnoliopsida; Brassicales; Brassicaceae.